ACUUAUCCCCACGGGAGCCCGCAUGGAAGCGGGCUGAGAUGGCCGCUGGAACCGCGGCCGCACCGUUCGAACCUGUCUGGUUAGCACCAGCGAAGGAAGAGAGGUCAGGCCCAUGU
RNAcentral lists this non-coding RNA (116 nucleotides) under Corynebacterium sp. Its description in RNAcentral is "TPP sequence". It matches the Rfam family "TPP riboswitch aptamer (THI element)". From Rfam's summary of the family: Vitamin B(1) in its active form thiamin pyrophosphate (TPP) is an essential coenzyme that is synthesised by coupling of pyrimidine and thiazole moieties in bacteria. The previously detected thiamin-regulatory element, thi box was extended, resulting in a new, highly conserved RNA secondary structure, the THI element, which is widely distributed in eubacteria and also occurs in some archaea. Analysis of operon structures identified a large number of new candidate thiamin-regulated genes, mostly transporters, in various prokaryotic organisms. The record is from RNAcentral. RNAcentral also lists the same sequence under 1 other name. Lineage: Bacteria; Bacillati; Actinomycetota; Actinomycetes; Mycobacteriales; Corynebacteriaceae.